UUUAUUUCCACCACAGACUGUUUUUAUCAUAUUUGUUGUUUUCUGAACCACCUGACCGUCAUUUUCGUAUUUACUCUGAGGGAGUUUAUCGCCUCGGUUUCCCGGAUUUCACCUGCAGAUGUCGGACGUGGUUCGGGGAGUCUGCGCCUCACCUGGAGGUUAGAGGAAACACACAUGUUCAAAUGUAAAUCAAUGAUCGAUAGCUGAGAUUCACAGUUGUGUUCGCGCCACUUAAACAGAGUUUAAAAGUGGUGUUGGCGAAGAUGGCACGAACAGACGCGGUCGAGUUAUCAUCCGACCGUUUAUUGUGUAUUUCAACCGUGUUCUGAGCGAAUCAGGGCAGAGGCCUACCGAGCUAACGAAGCUAACGGCGCUAACUUUUCUCGGAAUAAUCCGGAGAAGGAAAACGGCCAUAAACCGGUGAAUUGGGCUGAUAGUGUGCUCUUUUUUUGUUAGAAAGACCCACACAUUCAAAAAUAACAGUAAAUGUCGGUAUAUUGGUCCCUUUGUACCGCAUACAGGUGAAGUGAGCUAACAUGGAGGCGCCGCCGCCUGGUAACGUGUCUAUAAAACCUGCAGUCAACAAAACCAACUGUAUCAUCGAUGAAAAUCACAUCAUAGUUUAGCAAGUUAUCAAUAUUUGAUCAAUAUUUCUAUAGUAGGAGAGGCCCCUGCUUGUGUACUUGUAUGAGUUAUACAUAGGCCUGUAGGGGAGACCGGGUAAGUUAAGUCCCCUCUGUUUCUUGUAAAUGGUCAAAGAAAUUGAUAAUGUGACCAAAUAUUUAGGAGAUGGUCAUCAAUUCAUGGAGUCUGUGAAGGUUAGAAGCGUUGGCUGUGUCCAAAAUGGAUCCCUAAUCCCUAUAUAGGUGACUACAUGGGGGUUAGCGCCAUUUUGAGGGGUAUCCGAAACCUCAGUGAUCAAUUCCAGUGCCCAAUAUAGGUGAUUCAAAAUUUCCCAUUAAGCAUUGCAAAAUGUAUUGACCAUCCGAUGGUCACUCAACGGUUGCAUCUUGCCAUGUAGUGUCCGAAACCUCCGGUAAUUGAGUUCACUACAACUAUAUAGUAAAACCCCAUAUGGGGGUUAGGGGUCAGGGAUUGAGUGAUUCAUUUCGGACACAGCCUGAGACAUUAUUUACGUAGACGCCCCAAAGCCUGAUGCUGCCUAUUGGAGCUCUGGUAUCAGUGCGCCCGCCAUCUUGGAUGGGUCCCCCGUGUGCCUCUAGUGCAUUAAGGUAAGUAGGAAUGCCCAACCAACUCUCAGAAUUUCUGCCCGAUUUUCACACUGUUUGGUUUGUUACAACGGCAGGGAUGUAGCAAUAAUACAGGACAAUGUCACAUUAAAAAUAAAAAAUAUAUGUUUUUCAAUCCUGUUUGUGAAAUGUAAUCCCACGUAAUCUGGUUUCAAUACUGCGUCGGGUUUUUCAACCAUAGAGUGCAAAAAAACGGGCACAGUUACUCGUUCUCCAUUGACCCCGUUUGGCUCUUGAGUGAACCUGGAGUGGGGAGACCCAUCUAAUAUAGCGGUGACACUGGUUUACGCUCCAGCACGUAAUGAGGCGUCUACGUAUAUAAUCAUACAUAAUACAUUUUAUUCACGUCAUAUUGUUGGGAUACAUUUCUGGUUGUUUUUUGAGACAUCAGCCUUUUUUCCCUGUUUUUCUUAGUAGGAGAUUCUGAUUUGUUCUGCCCAAUAAAGACAAUCAUGACCCAAACACAUUAGGACGCUUAUUUAAACAGUUGCAUGUUCAUGUUGCAUGCUAAUCAAUUUGAGCAAUGAAGUGAGGCAAGAACAUAUUUAGAGCUUGGUGACCUGAUGUCUGAUUCUGUUUAUUUUUAUACAAUCACAGGUGUGACCCGGGUCCCCAGCCUCAGUGGGAUUAUCAGUGUCCACUGUCAACACUACUGCAGAAACCAGACUUCAUGAAUCAUCAGAGUUUGUCCAACAAGACACACAGAUAUGAACACCACCCAUCCCAGCUACAGCAGCUUCCACCACCCUGAAAACAACAUCAACCUCUGCUCUGUCUCACUGAAUCUCCAGUGCAGCUGGAUAAUUUGAAUGAGUGUGUAUUCUAGUAAUCACAUACACUAACUCCCUUUAUCAUGUGUCCUGUCAAAGACUCGCAC
Non-coding RNA from Xyrichtys novacula (pearly razorfish), 2127 nucleotides. NCBI's taxonomy places the organism in Eukaryota, Metazoa, Chordata, Actinopteri, Labriformes, Labridae. The record is from the annotation of a GenBank genome assembly.